Molecule: long non-coding RNA, 5825 nt
Filed under: Citrus x clementina
Lineage: Eukaryota; Viridiplantae; Streptophyta; Magnoliopsida; Sapindales; Rutaceae
Description: Citrus clementina (C. clementina) long non-coding RNA (CCLE_LNC004947)
Source: RNAcentral
GUGGGGGGCGCGGGCGAAGUUCGUCCGCCGGACUCGGAAUGGGGCGAGACUUUGCGAGGGGCCUCGGGGUGCCAAAAAUAAGCCGCGGGCAAAGCCGCGCCGAAAAAUAAGCGCCCAAAGGUCGUGGUGCCAAAACCCCCAGCGGAAACAUGGCCAAAAAACGGGUGGGCUAUAGCCUUGGUGGGGGGCGCGGGCGAAGUUCGUCCGCCGGACUCGGAAUGGGGCAGACUUUACGAGGGGCCUCGGGGUGCCAAAAAUAAGCCGCGGGCAAAGCCGCGCCCAAAAAUAAGCGCCCGAAGGUCGUAGUUCCAAAACCCCCCAGCGGAAAAAUGGCCAAAAAACGGGUGGGCUAUAGCCUUGGUGGGGGGCGCGGGCGAAGUUCGUCCGCCGGACUCGGAAUGGGGCGAGACUUUGCGAGGGGCCUCGGGGUACCAAAAAUAAGCCGUGGGCAAAGCCGCGCCGAAAAAUAAGCGCCCGAAGGUCGUGGUGCCAAAACCCCCAGCGGAAAAAUGGCCAAAAAACGGGUGGGCUAUAGCCUUGGUGGGGGGCGAGGGCGAAGUUCGUCCGCCGGACUCGGCAUGGGGCGGACUUUACGAGGGGCCUCGGGGUGCCAAAAAUAAGCCGCGGGCAAAGCCGCGCCCAAAAAUAAGCGCCCGAAGGUCGUAGUUCCAAAACCCCCCAGCGGAAAAAUGGCCAAAAAACGGGUGGGCUACAGCCUUGGUGGGGGGCGCGGGCGAAGUUCGUCCGCCGGACUCGGAAUGGGGCGAGGCUUUGCGAGGGGCCUCGGGGUGCCAAAAAUAAGCCGCGGGCAAAGCCGCGCCCAAAAAUAAGCACCCGAAGGUCGUGUUGCCAAAACCCCCCAGCGGAAAAAUGGCCAAAAAACGGGUGGGCUAUAGCCUUGGUGGGGGGCGCGGGCGAAGUUCGUCCGCCGGACUCGGAAUGGGGCGGACUUUACGAGGGGGCUCGGGGUGCCAAAAAUAAGCCGCGGGCAAAGCCGCGCCCAAAAAUAAGCGCCCGAAGGUCGUGGCGCCAAAACCCCCCAGCGGAAAAAUGGCCAAAAAACGGGUGGGCUAUAGCGUUGGUGGGUGGCGCGGGCGAAGUUCGUCCGCCGGACUCGGAAUGGGGCGAGACUUUGCGAGGGGCCUCGGGGUGCUAAAAAUAAGCCGCGGACAAAGCCGCGCCCAAAAAUAAGAGCCCGAAGGUCGUGGUGCCAAAACCCCCCAGCUGAAAAAUGGCCAAAAAACGGGUGGGCUAUAGCCUUGGUGGGGGGCGCGGGCGAAGUUCGUCCGCCGGACUCGGAAUGGGGCGGACUUUACGAGGGGCCUCGGGGUGCGAAAAAUAAGCCGCGGGCAAAGCCGCGCCCAAAAAUAAGCGCCCGAAGGUCCUAGUUCCAAAACCCCCCAGCGGAAAAAUGGCCAAAAAACGGGUGGGCUAUAUCCUUGGUGGGCGGCGCGGGCGAAGUUCGUCCGCCGGACUCGGAAUGGGGCGAGACUUUGCGAGGGGCCUCGGGGUGCCAAAAAUAAGCCGCGGGCAAAGCCGCGGCGAAAAAUAAGCGCCCGAAGGUCGUGGUGCCAAAACCCCCAGCGGAAAAAUGGCCAAAAAACGGGUGGGCUAUAGCCUUGGUGGGGGGCGCGGGCGAAGUUCGUCCGCCGGACUCGGAAUGGGGCGAGACUUUGCGAGGGGCCUCGGGGUGCCAAAAAUAAGCCGCGGGAAAAGCCGCGCCGAAAAAUAAGCGCCCAACGGUCGUGGUGCCAAAACCCCCAGCGGAAACAUGGCCAAAAAACGGGUGGGCUAUAGCCUUGGUGGGGGGCGCGGGCGAAGUUCGUCCGCCGGGCUCGGAAUGGGGCAGACUUUACGAGGGGCCUCGGGGUUGCCAAAAAUAAGCCGCGGGCAAAGCCGCGCCCAAAAAUAAGCGCCCGAAGGUCGUAGUUCCAAAACCCCCCAGCGGAAAAAUGGCCAAAAAACGGGUGGGCUAUAGCCUUGGUGGGGGGCGCGGGCGAAGUUCGUCCGCCGGACUCGGAAUGGGGCGAGACUUUGCGAGGGGCCUCGGGGUACCAAAAAUAAGCCACGGGCAAAGCCGCGCCGAAAAAUAAGAGCCCGAAGGUCGUGGUGCCAAAACCCCCAGCGGAAAAAUGGCCAAAAAACGGGUGGGCUAUAGCCUUGGUGGGGGGCGCGGGCGAAGUUCGUCCGCCGGACUCGGCAUGGGGCGGACUUUACGAGGGGCCUCGGGGUGCCAAAAAUAAGCCGCGGGCAAAUCCGCGCCCAAAAUUAAGCGCCCGAAGGUCGUAGUUCUAAAACCCCCCAGCGGAAAAAUGGCCAAAAAACGGGUGGGCUAUAGCCUUGGUGGGGGGCGCGGGCGAAGUUCGUCCGCCGGACUCGGAAUGGGGCAAGACUUUGCGAGGGGCCUCGGGGUGCCAAAAAUAAGCCGCGGGCAAAGCCGCGCCCAAAAAUUAGCACCCGAAGGUCGUGGUGCCAAAACCCCCCAGCGGAAAAAUGGCCAAAAAACGGGUGGGCUAUAGCCUUGGUGGGGGGCGCGGGCGAAGUUCGUCCGCCGGACUCGGAAUGGGGCAAGACUUUGCGAGGGGCCUCGGGGUGCCAAAAAUAAGCCGCGGGCAAAGCCGCGCCCAAAAAUAAGAGCCCGAAGGUCGUGGUGCCAAAACCCCCCAGCUGAAAAAUGGCCAAAAAACGGGUGGGCUAUAGCCUUAGUGGGGGGGGCGGGCGAAGUUCGUCCGCCGGACUCGGAAUGGGGCGGACUUUACGAGGGGCCUCGGAGUGCGAAAAAUAAGCCGCGGGCAAAGCCGCGCCCAAAAAUAAGCGCCCGAAGGUCCUAGUUCCAAAACCCCCCAGCGGAAAAAUGGCCAAAAAACGGGUGGGCUAUAGCCUUGGUGGGCGGCGCGGGCGAAGUUCGUCCGCCGGACUCGGAAUGGGGCGAGACUUUUACGAGGGGCCUCGGGGUGCCAAAAAUAAGCCGCGGGCAAAGCCACGCCGAAAAAUAAGCGCCCGAAGGUCGUGGUGCCAAAACCCCCAGCGGAAAAAUGGCCAAAAAACGGGUGGGCUAUAGCCUUAGUGGGGGGCGCGGGCGAAGUUCGUCCGCCGGACUCGGAAUGGGGCGGACUUUGUGACGGGGCCUCGGGGUGCCAAACAUAAGCCGCGGGCAAAGCCGCGCCGAAAAAUAAGCGCCCGAAGGUCGUGGUGCCAAAACCCCCAGCGGAAAAAUGGCCAAAAAACGGGUGGGCUAUAGCCUUGGUGGGGGGCGCGGGCGAAGUUCGUCCGCCGGACUAGGCAUGGGGCGGACUUUACGAGGGGCCUCGGGGUGCCAAAAAUAAGCCGCGGGCAAAGCCGCGCCCAAAAAUAAGCGCCCGAAGGUCGUAGUUCUAAAACCCCCCAGCGGAAAAAUGGCCAAAAAACGGGUGGGCUAUAGCCUUGGUGGGGGGCGCGGGCGAAGUUCGUCCGCCGGACUCGGAAUGGGGCAAGACUUUGCGAGGGGCCUCGGGGUGCCAAAAAUAAGCCGCGGGCAAAGCCGCGCCCAAAAAUUAACACCCGAAGGUCGUGGUGCCAAAACCCCCCAGCGGAAAAAUGGCCAAAAAACGGGUGGGCUAUAGCCUUGGUGGGGGGCGCGGGCGAAGUUCGUCCGCCGGACUCGGAAUGGGGCAAGACUUUGCGAGGGGCCUCGGGGUGCCAAAAAUAAGCCGCGGGCAAAGCCGCGCCCAAAAAUAAGAGCCCGAAGGUCGUGGUGCCAAAACCCCCCAGCUGAAAAAUGGCCAAAAAACGGGUGGGCUAUAGCCUUAGUGGGGGGGGCGGGCGAAGUUCGUCCGCCGGACUCGGAAUGGGGCGGACUUUACGAGGGGCCUCGGAGUGCGAAAAAUAAGCCGCGGGCAAAGCCGCGCCCAAAAAUAAGCGCCCGAAGGUCCUAGUUCCAAAACCCCCCAGCGGAAAAAUGGCCAAAAAACGGGUGGGCUAUAGCCUUGGUGGGCGGCGCGGGCGAAGUUCGUCCGCCGGACUCGGAAUGGGGCGAGACUUUUACGAGGGGCCUCGGGGUGCCAAAAAUAAGCCGCGGGCAAAGCCACGCCGAAAAAUAAGCGCCCGAAGGUCGUGGUGCCAAAACCCCCAGCGGAAAAAUGGCCAAAAAACGGGUGGGCUAUAGCCUUAGUGGGGGGCGCGGGCGAAGUUCGUCCGCCGGACUCGGAAUGGGGCGGACUUUGUGACGGGGCCUCGGGGUGCCAAACAUAAGCCGCGGGCAAAGCCGCGCCGAAAAAUAAGCGCCCGAAGGUCGUGGUGCCAAAACCCCCAGCGGAAAAAUGGCCAAAAAACGGGUGGGCUAUAGCCUUGGUGGGGGGCGCGGGCGAAGUUCGUCCGCCGGACUCGGAAUGGGGCGAGACUUUGCGAGGGGCCUCGGGGUGCCAAAAAUAAGCCGCGGGCAAAGCCGCGCCGAAAAAUAAGUGCCCAAAGGUCGUGGUGCCAAAACCCCCAGCGGAAACAUGGCCAAAAAACGGGUGGGCUAUAGCCUUGGUGGGGGGCGCGGGCGAAGUUCGUCCGCCGGACUCGGCAUGGGGCGGACUUUACGAGGGGCCUCGGGGUGCCAAAAAUAAGCCGCGGGCAAAGCCGCGCCCAAAAAUAAGCGCCCGAAGGUCGUAGUUCCAAAACCCCCCAGCGGAAAAAUGGCCAAAAAACGGGUGGGCUACAGCCUUGGUGGGGGGCGCGGGCGAAGUUCGUCCGCCGGACUCGGAAUGGGGCGGACUUUACGAGGGGGCUCGGGGUGCCAAAAAUAAGCCGCGGGCAAAGCCGCGCCCAAAAAUAAGCGCCCGAAGGUCGUGGUUCCAAAACCCCCCAGCGGAAAAAUGGCCAAAAAACGGGUGGGCUAUAGCGUUGGUGGGUGGCGCGGGCGAAGUUCGUCCGCCGGACUCGGAAUGGGGCGAGACUUUGCGAGGGGCCUCGGGGUGCCAAAAAUAAGCCGCGGGCAAAGCCGCGCCCAAAAAUAAGAGCCCGAAGGUCGUGGUGCCAAAACCCCCCAGCUGAAAAAUGGCCAAAAAACGGGUGGGCUAUAGCCUUGGUGGGGGGCGCGGGCGAAGUUCGUCCGCCGGACUCGGAAUGGGGCGGACUUUACGAGGGGGCUUGGGGUGCCAAAAAUAAGACGCGGGCAAAGCCGCGCCCAAAAAUAAGCGCCCGAAGGUCGUGGUGCCAAAACCCCCCAGCGGAAAAAUGGCCAAAAAACGGGUGGGCUAUAGCGUUGGUGGGUGGCGCGGGCGAAGUUCGUCCGCCGGACUCGGAAUGGGGCGAGACUUUGCGAGGGGCCUCGGGGUGCCAAAAAUAAGCCGCGGGCAAAGCCGCGCCCAAAAAUAAGAGCCCGAAGGUCGUGGUGCCAAAACCCCCCAGCUGAAAAAUGGCCAAAAAACGGGUGGGCUAUAGCCUUGGUGGGGGGCGCGGGCGAAGUUCGUCCGCCGGACUCGGAAUGGGGCGGACUUUACGAGGGGGCUCGGGGUGCCAAAAAUAAGACGCGGGCAAAGCCGCGGGCAAAGCCGCGCCCAAAAAUAAGCGCCCGAAGGUCGUGGUGCCAAAACCCCCCAGCGGAAAAAUGGCCAAAAAACGGGUGGGCUAUAGCGUUGGUGGGUGGCGCGGGCGAAGUUCGUCCGCCGGACUCGGAAUGGGGCGAGACUUUGCGAGGGGCCUCGGGGUGCCAAAAAUAAGCCGCGGGCAAAGCCGCGCCCAAAAAUAAGAGCCCGAAGGUCGUGGUGCCAAAACCCCCCAGCUGAAAAAUGGCCAAAAAACGGGUGGGCUAUAGCCUUGGUGGGGGGCGCGGGCGAAGUUCGUCCGCCGGACUCGGAAUG